ACUUAUGGCUACACCACCCUCAAAGCACCCAAUCUUGUCAGAUCUCAGAAGCUAAGCAGGGCCGGGCCUGGUUAAUAUUUGGAUGGGAGACCACCUGGGAAUACCGGCUGUCAUAUGAC
RNAcentral lists this ribosomal RNA (119 nucleotides) under Xenopus laevis (African clawed frog). The record is from RNAcentral. Lineage: Eukaryota; Metazoa; Chordata; Amphibia; Anura; Pipidae.